CGAAAGCCUGACGGAGCAAGACCGCGUGGGGGAAGAAGGCUCUUGGGUUGUAAACCCCUUUUCUCUGGGAAGAAAGUUGUGAAAGCAACCUGACGGUACCAGAGGAAUCAGCAUCGGCUAACUCCGUGCCAGCAGCCGCGGUAAGACGGAGGAUGCAAGCGUUAUCCGGAAUGAUUAGGCGUAAAGCGUCCGCAGGUGGCAGUUCAAGUCUGCUGUCAAAGACCGGGGCUUAACUUCGGAAAGGCAGUGGAAACUGAACAGCUAGAGUAUGGUAGGGGCAGAGGGAAUUCCUGGUGUAGCGGUGAAAUGCGUAGAGAUCAGGAAGAACAUCGGUGGCGAAGGCGCUCUGCUGGACCAUAACUGACACUCAGGGACGAAAGCUAGGGGAGCG
Molecule: ribosomal RNA, 391 nt
Filed under: uncultured Oscillatoria sp.
Lineage: Bacteria; Bacillati; Cyanobacteriota; Cyanophyceae; Oscillatoriales; Oscillatoriaceae
Description: bacterial SSU rRNA
Rfam family: Bacterial small subunit ribosomal RNA
Source: RNAcentral